GCAGCCCACUUGACCCACACUGCGUCGUCGUCAGUUGCCGCCGCUGGCCUCAAAGGGGGAAAUCUUUGGCGCCGCUUUGCCUCCUGAAUCUUUUCCCCGUCACAUCGCCGCCGUUCCCGCCGGUGACCUGCCGCCUGCCCAACCGGAGUGCGCCGCCGAAAGCUGACCUGUCAUGGAAGAUGAUGAACCUUCGGAUGCAUGCUCACGCACUGAUGAAGAUGGUGCAAAGGGUAGCUGGGACAACAAAAGAAAGUCUACACAAGCAUGUUCUUACCCAAAUAAGAAACAUGGUUUCGUGAUAAAAAAUGAAUGGGAGUGCUUUGUUAUUUGCGUCUUUGCUGCUGUUGUUUUAAUCCUCAUAUAUCUCUUCACUGAGGAAGAUGAGGAGGAAGACGAAGAAGAAGGUGACGAUGAGGAUGAAGACGAGAAGAAGGUCACUGUGGAUUGCUUCAUAGCAACGAAGGCAUGGCUGAGCUUGAGCUUGGCCCAGGGAACACAAACAUCGAAGAAAUCCUUGGUAUGCUUCGAUUAGUACCAGGAUAUGAUGAAGCAGCUGUAAAGGCAAAACAGGAAGCUACAAAAGCAAAGAGACGCCUUGAGUUUUUGUGAGAUCUUAUUAGAUUCUAAUGGUAUCAUAUUAUAUUGCUCAUUGCAAUUCCAAGAAUAUCCGUUGCAUGGAUGGACUUAAAUAGCUUCAAAUUAUUCAGAUCGAGAAGAAUGAAGCUACUUAUCACCUCCAGGAGUUCAAAGUCUCAA
This is a long non-coding RNA of Sorghum bicolor (sorghum), 756 nucleotides long. RefSeq lists it as uncharacterized. The transcript is spliced from 2 exons. NCBI's taxonomy places the organism in Eukaryota, Viridiplantae, Streptophyta, Magnoliopsida, Poales, Poaceae. The record is from RefSeq and is a predicted model, not a curated record.